GUCAGGAGUUAAGAAAUAUUGUGAGCUAAUACCUCAUGAUCUUGACGGUACCUCCAAAGGAAGCCACGGCUAACUCUGUGCCAGCAGCCGCGGUAAUACAGAGGUGGCAAGCGUUGUUCGGAAUUAUUGGGCGUAAAGCGCGUGUAGGCGGUCUUUUAAGUCAGAUGUGAAAGCCCCGGGCUCAACCUGGGAAGUGCAUUGGAAACUGGAAGACUUGAGUACGGGAGGGGAGAAUGGAACUUCUG
Molecule: ribosomal RNA, 245 nt
Filed under: uncultured bacterium
Lineage: Bacteria
Description: partial 16S ribosomal RNA
Rfam family: Bacterial small subunit ribosomal RNA
Source: RNAcentral